RNAcentral lists this ribosomal RNA (253 nucleotides) under uncultured bacterium. RNAcentral's name for it is "partial 16S ribosomal RNA". It matches the Rfam family "Bacterial small subunit ribosomal RNA", at positions 524 to 776 of the family's 1533-position model. The record is from RNAcentral.
UACGGGGGGGGCAAGCGUUGUUCGGAAUUACUGGGCGUAAAGGGUUUGUAGGUGGCUUGCUAAGUCAGACGUGAAAUCCCUCAGCUUAACUGGGGAACUGCGUCUGAGACUGGCAAGCUCGAGUGCAGGAGAGGAACGCGGAAUUCCAGGUGUAGCGGUGAAAUGCGUAAAUAUCUGGAGGAACACCGGUGGCGAAGGCGGCGUUCUGGACUGCAACUGACACUGAAAAACGAAAGCCAGGGGAGCAAACGGG